This 352-nucleotide long non-coding RNA is filed under the name Apteryx rowi (Okarito brown kiwi). RNAcentral's name for it is "lncRNA (ENSARWG00000003828.1)". The record is from RNAcentral. Lineage: Eukaryota; Metazoa; Chordata; Aves; Apterygiformes; Apterygidae.
CGAGAAACCAAAGAGAAGUAUGAGCUGCUGUUGGUGGUAUCUGACAACGGAGUACCUCAGAGGCAGAAUUUCACGUAUGUCAGCAUUCAAGUACUGGAUGUAAAUGACAACCCUCCUCAGUUUAUGAAAGCACAGUACUCAGCCACUGUACUUGUAGCAACGGCAAAAGAAGGAGUUUCUGUACUGUCAGUGUCUGCUACUGACCUUGACCUUGGGAACAAUUCUGUUAUUUCAUACAGUACAGUUACCUGCAGGAAUUUGCAGAACACUAGGAAUUAGCAGGACUGCAGUCUUCAAAUGAAUGUCACCUGCAUUUCUUAUAUCACUGAACUAUGAGCAGCUGAGAGUGCAG